RNAcentral lists this ribosomal RNA (444 nucleotides) under uncultured bacterium. RNAcentral describes it as "bacterial SSU rRNA". It matches the Rfam family "Bacterial small subunit ribosomal RNA", at positions 28 to 505 of the family's 1533-position model. The record is from RNAcentral.
GAUGAACGCUAGCGAGACGCCUAACACAUGCAAGUCGAACGCUGAUUUAUCAGCGUGGCAAACGGGUGCGUAACACGUGCUUAACCUGCCCUGGAGCGGGGGAUACCUGUGGAAACACAACUAAUCCCGCAUACGCUCCGCAUUAUGAAAAAUUGCGGAGGAAAGAUUUAUCACUCUAGGAGGGGGGCGCGGCCUAUUAGCUAGUUGGUGAGGUAAUAGCUCACCAAGGCAAUGAUGGGUAGCUGGUCUGAGAGGAUGAUCAGCCACAAUGGAACUGAGACACGGUCCAUACCCCUACGGGGGGCAGCAGUGGGGAAUCUUGCACAAUGGACGAAAGUCUGAUGCAGCGAUCUCGCGUGGAGGAUGAAGCAUUACGGUGUGUAAACUUCUUUUUUGGAGGAAGACGACUGACGGUACUCCAAGAAUAAGGGACGGCUAACUACG